UCGAUUUCUCUGGUUUCUUAGUUGCAGAGUUUGCAAGCAAAGUAGAGAAAAAUCACUGCAGAGAAGAGCACAAUCGAAGAGAAAUGGCGUUGGCCUUCGACGAGUUCGGAAGGCCGUUCAUUAUAUUAAAAGAGCAGGAGCAGAAGACUCGAUUGCGAGGUUUAGAUGCUCAAAAAGCUAACAUUUCCGCUGGAAGAGCCGUUGCUCGUAUCCUUCGUACCUCUCUCGGCCCCAAGGGCAUGGAUAAGAUGCUUCAGAGUCCCGACGGCGACAUCACCAUCACAAAUGAUGGUGCUACAAUCUUGGAACAGAUGGAUGUGGACAAUCA
RNAcentral lists this unclassified non-coding RNA (328 nucleotides) under Hevea brasiliensis (rubber tree). Lineage: Eukaryota; Viridiplantae; Streptophyta; Magnoliopsida; Malpighiales; Euphorbiaceae. The record is from RNAcentral.